CUCCCACAACUUCCGAAGGCAACUUCUGUUCCAUUGGUCUCACGUCAUCAUUCAAGAGGAGAGGAUUAACAUACACAGAGACAUCACGCUACUCUAUAAGAUUCCUGGCAUAUAACCAGCAGAGUGCAGAAGAAAGAUAAAGAAAAAUUUACAACCCUUAGGUUUCUGAAGAGCGCUGGAUGGACUUCUAAAAUAGGCUGAUACGCAAAGCAGACCAAUACCUGAGAUUUAAUUAAAACAGACAAAUGUUUCAACACUAAAGGACCAUCUGCACUGUAAGCGAAGUUCACAUCAUCAAACGCAAUCACUCCUUCAGUUGGCCACUCCGCUGGUGGACGUUUGUAGAUUUUCAACUUCUGCACUCUGCCGAACUCCCCACUGGAACAUUCCUGUGAGGGUGAUUGCAUAGGAUAAAGCAAGGCCCAC
Long non-coding RNA from Thamnophis elegans (Western terrestrial garter snake), 426 nucleotides. RefSeq lists it as uncharacterized. The transcript has 4 exons. The record is from RefSeq and is a predicted model, not a curated record. NCBI's taxonomy places the organism in Eukaryota, Metazoa, Chordata, Lepidosauria, Squamata, Natricidae.